GAUGAACGCUGGCGGCGCGCCUAACACAUGCAAGUCGAACGAAGCACCUUGAUUUGAUUCUUCGGAUGAAGAUCUUGGUGACUGAGUGGCGGACGGGUGAGUAACGCGUGGGUAACCUGCCUCAUACAGGGGGAUAAUAGUUAGAAAUGACUGCUAAUACCGCAUAAGACCACAGUACCGCAUGGUACAGGGGUAAAAACUCCGGGGGUAUGAGAUGGACCCGCGUCUGGUUAGGUAGUUGGUGGGGUAACGACCUACCAAGCCGACGAUCAGUAGCCGACCUUAGGAGGUUACCGGCCCAAUUGGGACGGGUACUCGGCGCAUAAUCCUGCAGGGAACAGCAGUCGGAAAUAUUGCACAACGUGCGAAACCGUGAUCCAGCGGCGAAGCGAGAACUAUGAAAUCUUUCGGCAUCAAAAGCGCUAUCAGCAGGGAAGAAAAUGACGGUACGUGACUAAGAAGCAUCGGAUAAAUGCGAGGCAGCCACAGCCGUAA
Molecule: ribosomal RNA, 495 nt
Filed under: uncultured bacterium
Lineage: Bacteria
Description: partial 16S ribosomal RNA
Rfam family: Bacterial small subunit ribosomal RNA
Source: RNAcentral